Molecule: long non-coding RNA, 723 nt
Organism: Sitodiplosis mosellana (orange wheat blossom midge)
Lineage: Eukaryota; Metazoa; Arthropoda; Insecta; Diptera; Cecidomyiidae
Exons: 5
Source: RefSeq, a predicted model, not a curated record
AGUUCGCAUUGAGAGUGAAACUGAGUGGAUUUAAUGCUAACGGGAUAUUCGCACAUUUUGUUGGAUUACAUCAUUACAGUGGAUUGUGGCAGUCAGUGGAUUCUGUGUAGAAUUUAGCAACAAAAGCAUUCGUUUGGUGUGUGACAGUGGCUAAAACGCGAUUAAACCUUUGAACAGAAUUGGUGCGUGAUUUCGAUCGUAACGAAGGCAGCUGCUACUACUGUGCACUGAGAAAUUGUUUUGUAAUAAAACACAUCUAAAUCGUUGGUUGUCGAGACAAAGUUGGUUGCUGCUGUGUUCAUUUGCAACUCAUUGUGAACUGUUUGUGUACGUUUGGAGCCGAUUUUUCUAUCCAACGCUAUCAAAACUUUGGACAGAAUCGGUGCGUGAUUCGUCAUUGAGUGUACCUAACCUACACCAACAGAAAUAAUCUGGCUGGAGUUGUCUAAGAAAGUUAUUCGAACGCAUCAAAGUGAACUGUUUGUGUGCGCUAAGAGCCGAUUUUUCAAUUCAACGCUAUCAAAACGGCAGAAUUUGUUACUCUUAGGUUUACACAACAUUUCAAAAACCGAAAUGCAACUUGAAUAACAUAAGUUCUAAAUAUUUUUAAGUUUUAAUGGCUUUUUUAAACGUGAAGGUCAAAGUAUUCAAAAGUUAAAAGAAUUAUAUAAAGUUGCAUACGAUGACGAUUUGGAUUUUGAAUUGUUGGUCACAUUAAUUGUG